GGGAAUAUUGCACAAUGGGGGAAACCCUGAUGCAGCGACGCCGCGUGAGUGAAGAAGUAUUUCGGUAUGUAAAGCUCUAUCAGCAGGGACGAAGAUGACGGUACCUGCAGAAGAAGCCCCGGCUAACUACGUGCCAGCAGCCGCGGUAAUACGUAGGGGGCAAGCGUUAUCCGGAUUUACUGGGUGUAAAGGGAGCGUAGACGGCAGGGCAAGCCAGAAGUGAAAACGCAGAGCUUAACUUUGCGACUGCUUUUGGAACUGCCCAGCUAGAGUACAGGAGAGGUAAGUGGAAUUCCUAGUGUAGCGGUGAAAUGCGUAGAUAUUAGGAGGAACACCAGUGGCGAAGGCGGCUUACUGGACUGAGACUGACGUUGAGGCUCGAAAGCGUGGGGAGCAAACAGG
Molecule: ribosomal RNA, 402 nt
Filed under: uncultured bacterium
Lineage: Bacteria
Description: bacterial SSU rRNA
Rfam family: Bacterial small subunit ribosomal RNA
Source: RNAcentral